AGCGAACGCUGGCGGCAGGCCUAACACAUGCAAGUCGAACGAACCUUUCGGGGUUAGUGGCGGACGGGUGAGUAACACGUGGGAACGUGCCUUUAGGUUCGGAAUAACUCAGGGAAACUUGUGCUAAUACCGAAUGUGCCCUUCGGGGGAAAGAUUAAUCGCCUUUAGAGCGGCCGGCGUCUGUUUAGCUAGUUGGUUGGGGUAAUGGCUCACCAAGGCGACGAUCAGUAGCUGGUCUGAGAGGAUGAUCAGCCACAUUGGGACUGAGACACGGCCUAAACUCCUACGGAAGGCAGCAGUGGGGAAUCUUGCGCAAUGGGCGAAAGCCUGACGCAGCCAUGCCGCGUGAAUGAUGAAGGUCUUAGGAUUGUAAAAUUCUUUCACCGGGGACGAUAAUGACGGUACCCGGAGAAGAAGCCCCGGCUAACUUCGUG
RNAcentral lists this ribosomal RNA (434 nucleotides) under uncultured bacterium. RNAcentral describes it as "partial 16S ribosomal RNA". It matches the Rfam family "Bacterial small subunit ribosomal RNA", at positions 29 to 507 of the family's 1533-position model. The record is from RNAcentral.